RNAcentral lists this long non-coding RNA (194 nucleotides) under Cyanistes caeruleus (blue tit). RNAcentral describes it as "lncRNA (ENSCCEG00000013069.1)". The record is from RNAcentral. Lineage: Eukaryota; Metazoa; Chordata; Aves; Passeriformes; Paridae.
UAUACUUUUAGGACUAGUGAAUGAAAAUCAAAAGGUGGCAUCUCUGCAUCUCUGAAGUUCUGAGGAGAAAUCAUAUGGAGAACACACUGCUAGCUUGGGUAUCACCAGUGUUCUUUGCUGGCUGAAAGGAUUUGAGAAGCAGAUUGACACAGUGGAAAUUCAGUCAAGCCACAUGCCUGCAAGAGAGGUCAUGA